AAAACAGUCAUCUGAUACUCAUGCAGAAGAGGUAGGCAGCACAGACAGAUCGUAAACCUGUGGUACUCCCAGCUCUCUACUGUGCCAGUGACAUAUCCACAACUUUUGAGAAAUCAUCUCCAAUAAGCAAGAUCGUCUUUAAGUAGAGUGCUGAAGAUCCAGUCCUACAUUUUCAAGACCAUAUAAUUGAGGUAUUUUAUGAUAUAAAUAUAAUUCACAGAUU
RNAcentral lists this long non-coding RNA (223 nucleotides) under Anser brachyrhynchus (Pink-footed goose). Its description in RNAcentral is "lncRNA (ENSABRG00000005769.1)". The record is from RNAcentral. Lineage: Eukaryota; Metazoa; Chordata; Aves; Anseriformes; Anatidae.